RNAcentral lists this transfer RNA (73 nucleotides) under Myxococcales bacterium. RNAcentral's name for it is "tRNA-Lys". It matches the Rfam family "tRNA". Rfam says of the family: Transfer RNA (tRNA) molecules are approximately 80 nucleotides in length. Their secondary structure includes four short double-helical elements and three loops (D, anti-codon, and T loops). Lineage: Bacteria; Pseudomonadati; Myxococcota; Myxococcia; Myxococcales. The record is from RNAcentral.
GGUCCCGUAGCUCAAUUGGUAGAGCAGUGGAUUCUUAAUCCAUUGGUUGAAGGUUCGAGUCCUUCCGGGAUCA